UACGUAGGGUGCAAGCGUUUGUCCGGAAUUAUUGGGCGUAAAUGAGCUCGUAGGCGGAUUUGUCGGCGUUCUGCUGUGAAAACCCGAGGCUCAACCUCGGGCCUGCAGUGGGUACGGGCAGACUAGAGUGCGGGUAAGGGGAGAUUGGAAUUCCUGGUGUAAGCGGUGGAAUGCGCAGAUAAUCAGGAGGAACCACCGAUGGCGAAGGCAGGUCACUGGGCCGCAACUGGACGCUGAGGAGACGAAAGCAUGGGGAGCGAACAGG
This 265-nucleotide ribosomal RNA is filed under the name uncultured bacterium. RNAcentral describes it as "partial 16S ribosomal RNA". It matches the Rfam family "Bacterial small subunit ribosomal RNA", at positions 524 to 776 of the family's 1533-position model. The record is from RNAcentral.